This 253-nucleotide ribosomal RNA is filed under the name uncultured bacterium. RNAcentral describes it as "partial 16S ribosomal RNA". It matches the Rfam family "Bacterial small subunit ribosomal RNA", at positions 524 to 776 of the family's 1533-position model. The record is from RNAcentral.
UACGUAGGUGGCAAGCGUUGUCCGGAUUUACUGGGCGUAAAGAGCGCGCAGGCGGUCGAUUUAGUCGCGUGUGAAAGCCCCCGGCUCAACUGGGGAGGGUCACGCGAUACUGAUCGACUCGAAGGCAGGAGAGGGUAGUGGAAUUCCCGGUGUAGAGGUGAAAUUCGUAGAUAUUCGCAAGAACACCAGUGGCGAAGGCGGCUCACUGGCCCGAUACUGACGCUGAGGCACGAAAGCGUGGGGAGCAAACAGG